CCUACGGGGGGCUGCAGUGGGGAAUAUUGCACAAUGGGCGCAAGCCUGAUGCAGCCAUGCCGCGUGUGUGAAGAAGGCCUUCGGGUUGUAAAGCACUUUCAGCGGGGAGGAAGGCGUUAAGGUUAAUAACCUUGUCGAUUGACGUUACCCGCAGAAGAAGCACCGGCUAACUCCGUGCCAGCAGCCGCGGUAAUACGGAGGGUGCAAGCGUUAAUCGGAAUUACUGGGCGUAAAGCGCACGCAGGCGGUCUGUCAAGUCGGAUGUGAAAUCCCCGGGCUCAACCUGGGAACUGCAUUCGAAAGUGGCAGGCUAGAGUCGUGUAGAGGGGGGUAGAAGUCCAGGUGUAGCGGUGAAAUGCGUAGAGAUCUGGAGGAAUACCGGUGGCGAAGGCGGCCCCCUGGACAAAGACUGACGCUCAGGUGCGAAAGCGUGGUGAGCAAACAGGAUUAGAUACCCGGGUAGUC
Molecule: ribosomal RNA, 465 nt
Filed under: uncultured Klebsiella sp.
Lineage: Bacteria; Pseudomonadati; Pseudomonadota; Gammaproteobacteria; Enterobacterales; Enterobacteriaceae
Description: bacterial SSU rRNA
Rfam family: Bacterial small subunit ribosomal RNA
Source: RNAcentral